Molecule: ribosomal RNA, 292 nt
Filed under: uncultured bacterium
Lineage: Bacteria
Description: partial 16S ribosomal RNA
Source: RNAcentral
GGACUACUGGGGUAUCUAAUCCCGUUUGCUCCCCUGGCUUUCGUGUCUCAGCGUCAGCACAUCCCCAGCGAGCUGUUUUCACCGUUGGCGUUCCAAACGAUAUCUACGCAUUUCACCGCUCCACCGUUUGUUCCGCUCGCCCCUAGAUGGCUCAAGACGACCAGUAUACCAAGCAGUUCCACGGUUGAGCCGUGGGAUUUCACAAGGUACUUAGCCGUCCGCCUACACACGCUUUAAGCCCAGUGAUUCCGCCUAACGCUCGGCACCUCUGUCUUACCGCGGCUGCUGGCAC